Long non-coding RNA from Oncorhynchus tshawytscha (Chinook salmon), 2460 nucleotides. The record is from Ensembl. Lineage: Eukaryota; Metazoa; Chordata; Actinopteri; Salmoniformes; Salmonidae.
GUUACCCAAUGGGUUGAGGGGGGGCACAUGAACGCUGGUUACCCAAUGGGCUGAGAGAGGAGUGGGGGGGGCACAUGAAAGAAGGUAUUAGUGAAAAGUCUUAGCAAAAAUACUGUCAUUCUUUUGGAGAAAAAUACACAAAGGUUGAUCAAAUCUACACAUCAAACUAAUGGCACAUACAUGUACAGGAUCAAAUACAAAUGAAAAAACACAUCAACAUAUCAGCUGAAAUGUUCAAAGAAAAAAAAACUUUUUUUAAAAGGUUGAAAGUGCUAGAAUUCAGAUUAGCUCACAGAAACCCAGAGAGGACAAGACUAAAUACUAAUAACUUUUCAUUUGUUUUAUCAAUAAAUGAAUAAAAAGAUAAAUGCUACAUUUGAAUCCUACAAUUGUGUCUGGAAUUGAACAUAGCCACGGUCUUUUAAAAUGUAUACUUGAUAUAAAAAGGCUAUGACAUAACCUUCUUUUUUUUCUUUUUUACAUUUAUACCAAUAUUUAUAUCCAACUUCCUCUGUAAGAAACAGUCAAACUCUUUCAAAUGUAAGAAUCGCAUGUAUCAUGAUCAAUCAGGACAUGUUCAUAGUUUAGACAAUGUACCAGCCUAGAGGAGGAUUUUCCAGGAACAGACUGGUUAGUGUCAACUUGAACACACCUGCACUUAUUACCUCACAAGCAUUGGUUGGCAGUGGCACUAUUUGUAACAACCAAACAAACAUGAACUUAAAUCCAAAUGAUACAACAUGUAUUUUAAUGAGCAAUUGUGCAAGAUUUAGUUUCCUCUCUCUGGGUUUUGGUAAGAAAAAUUGAAAAAAAAAAAUUAAAAAAUGAGGUGAUGUGUUGUGUUGUUUCGAGGUCCUGUUUUUAACAAACAGAAAAAAAUAUAGCAUAUGACAACAACAAAAUACGACUAAGAAAUAUCCCAUUCAGGCGUCCCAUGCUUUGAAUGUCAAAGAGCAGGCUGGUGACUUGUCUGUUCUGGAUAUUGUCCUUUUUAGAUAGACCCUUUUGUCUUGAAUCUAGGAAGCAGCUGAGUGAGGAGGAGUACAGGAGAGGAAGGGAAACACUUCAAAUCGCUACUACUGAAAUGUUCUAGUGCUCUACAGUUGCUGAGCAACCGUAGCUAAAAGCAGCCGUAUGUUUUAUUUCUUUAUUUUUACAUUUCUACUUGACUUAUACUUGAAACUACGUAUUCACUAAUAGAUGCCUGUGGACUGGGCUCAGUACUCAAACAGACAAAAGUCAAGGGGUUUUGAGACAAGUUGCAAACCAAGAGGAUGAUAUUCAUACCGUAAAGAUUAGUCCUUGUACUCUCCAGGCAGAAUCUAUCUUUUAACGUUGUCCAUCCUACAAACAUAACUCACGGGACACAAAUAAGAGCACCUGUUAUAGUUUUAUAACUUUGGGCUUAAGUUUUCAAAAGGCUAGUGAAUAUGAAGAAAAAAAAGGCAUCUAAAAUCGGGUCGCUUCGUUUACUUAGGGUCAGGUUGGGUUUCAUACUGAGAAAGUAGAGAAUGAAUUGAAACUGGAGAGUCUAUCAAUGUUAUCUAUGUUGACUGCUAUUUCAUUAUUAUUCCACUAACAGCCUACUAAAACAUUUGUCAAAAUCCACAAUCCAAGUUUCUGCUACUAACUCAAGUAGGUAAAGGUAAAGAUCAAGGUAAAGAUCAAGGUAAAGAUCAAGGUAAAGUUCAAGAUCAAGGUAAAGAUCAAGAUCAAGAUCAAGGCAAAGAUCAAGGUAAAUAUCAAGAUCAAGGUAAAGAUCAAGGUAAAUAUCAAGGUAAAGAUCAAGAUCAAGAAUGAAUACAGAGGAGAAAAGCUAAAGGGCAAAGCUAAUAAUUCAUCCUUUUUUGAGCAAUAAAAUGUCAGAUACACACAAAUGUAAACCUGCCAGACAUUAAACAUCAUCACUUUGUACACCUUACUGAGAUAAAAGCAAUAAUAAUAUUCAUUUUUGAUGAGAUAUUUUGUACACUGCAAUAACAUUCUCUUACACCUUUUCCUCAAUGUCGUCGUUGUCAUUUUUGUUUGCUAUUCACAUAUGUCAGGGUGGUUAUUACCAUGCAUCUCUAACAGAGAGAAAAUAUAUUUGUUUUCAUCAACAACAACAAAAAAAUACAUAUCAGUAAUGUGUGGCAUAUUGUUACCAUGGAGACUUCUUAAAACAAAUACUGGAAGGAAGACAGUUGAAGGAAGGAACAUCAUCAUGAGUCAAAUACUGGUAAUGACCUGUUUUCAAGAGCAGCUUUUACAAGUUGGGUUUUUUCCCCAUAUAGGGUCAUCAUCACUGAGAGCUAGCCAAAGGGAUUCUUAAAGGGGAAGAGCCUUCCCCAUAUAAGGUCAUCAUCACUGAGAGCUAGCCAAAGGGAUUCUUAAAGGGGAAGAGCCUUCCCCAUAUAAGGUCAUCAUCACUGAGAGCUAGCCAAAGGGAUUCUUAAAGGGGAAGAGCCUUCCCCAUAUAAG